RNAcentral lists this unclassified non-coding RNA (342 nucleotides) under soil metagenome. RNAcentral's name for it is "partial contains 5.8S ribosomal RNA, internal transcribed spacer 2, and large subunit ribosomal RNA". The stretch from base 1 to 120 matches the Rfam family "5.8S ribosomal RNA", at positions 35 to 154 of the family's 154-position model. The record is from RNAcentral.
GAUGAAGAACGCAGCGAAAUGCGAUAAGUAAUGUGAAUUGCAGAAUUCAGUGAAUCAUCGAAUCUUUGAACGCACAUUGCGCCCGCCAGCAUUCUGGCGGGCAUGCCUGUUCGAGCGUCAUUUCAACCCUCGAGCCCCCCCGGGGGCCUCGGUGUUGGGGGACGGCACACCAGCCGCCCCCGAAAUGCAGUGGCGACCCCGCCGCAGCCUCCCCUGCGUAGUAGCACACACCUCGCACCGGAGCGCGGAGGCGGUCACGCCGUAAAACGCCCAACUUUCUUAGAGUUGACCUCGGAUCAGGUAGGAAUACCCGCUGAACUUAAGCAUACAAUAAGCGGAGGA